Molecule: ribosomal RNA, 448 nt
Filed under: uncultured bacterium
Lineage: Bacteria
Description: bacterial SSU rRNA
Rfam family: Bacterial small subunit ribosomal RNA
Source: RNAcentral
UUCCAGACUCCUACGGGAGGCAGCAGUGGGGAAUAUUGCACAAUGGGGGAAACCCUGAUGCAGCGACGCCGCGUGAGUGAAGAAGUAUUUCGGUAUGUAAAGCUCUAUCAGCAGGGAAGAAAAUGACGGUACCUGAAGAAGAAGCCCCGGCUAACUACGUGCCAGCAGCCGCGGUAAUACGUAGGGGGCAAGCGUUAUCCGGAUUUACUGGGUGUAAAGGGGGCGCAGACGGCGAUGCAAGUCAGGAGUGAAAGCCCGGGGCCCAACCCCGGGACUGCUCUUGGAACUGCGUGGCUGGAGUGCAGGAGGGGCAGGCGGAAUUCCUAGUGUAGCGGUGAAAUGCGUAGAUAUCAGGAGGAACGCCGGUGGCGAAGGCGGCCUGCUGGACUGCAACUGACGUUGAGGCCCGAAAGCGUGGGGAGCAAACAGGAUUAGAUACCCUGGUAAA